Molecule: long non-coding RNA, 642 nt
Organism: Pteropus alecto (black flying fox)
Lineage: Eukaryota; Metazoa; Chordata; Mammalia; Chiroptera; Pteropodidae
Exons: 3
Source: RefSeq, a predicted model, not a curated record
UUUCUGUCUCACUGCUCUCCUGCUUCCCAUCCAGCGUUACCCACCUUCCAGUCCUGAAUCCUUCUCCUUCUCUUUCCUCCUCCCAAACUUGGUUUUAUCAAAUUGAGUGAGAAGAAGUUCUCAAACUCUUAGUGUACUCUUCCGACAUCUCCAACACUCUAUCUUCAUGUAUUCAUAGGUUCAACACAUUUUACUGAGGACCUAGUGGUGGCUUCCAUUUUUGAAAAGUGCAUCAGGCCUCAAUUUAGAGUUUGGAGAAAAUUGUAGCUAGUGUCAAGGACUCGUUCAGUUUGUUUUAUUGAAUUUACUUCGGGAUAAGACCCCUUGAAGAUCUGGUGGGGGUUUGGGUGUGAGAAAAGAUCUGGUGAGCUGCUGGAGAGGGUCUGUUAAUUUCCUCCGCUCUCAACCUGAUGAAAACACUGGAUGGGAGAAGACGGAUGGGGAGGGGGCUGUGCCAGAGAGAGCCCUGGACUUGUACAGGGGCCCGGUCUGGACAUCAGGCUUUGUUGUGCCAAGUGGGCAUCCCUUAGCACCAUCAGAGAGAAAACUGGAAUGAACAAAGCCACAGGGGCCAGUGGCUAAAGUCAUCACUGCCUCAGUAAGAAACACAUUUUACUGAUACUGGGAAAACUGGAAAGCCAC